UCUCGUAUAGCUCAGUUGGUAGAGCGUGCGGCUGUUAACCUCAAGGUCGCUGGUUCAAACCCAGCUGGGAGAG
Transfer RNA from Phytophthora infestans T30-4, 73 nucleotides. It matches the Rfam family "tRNA". Rfam says of the family: Transfer RNA (tRNA) molecules are approximately 80 nucleotides in length. Their secondary structure includes four short double-helical elements and three loops (D, anti-codon, and T loops). The record is from Rfam. NCBI's taxonomy places the organism in Eukaryota, Oomycota, Peronosporomycetes, Peronosporales, Peronosporaceae.